Molecule: non-coding RNA, 205 nt
Organism: Pocillopora verrucosa
Lineage: Eukaryota; Metazoa; Cnidaria; Anthozoa; Scleractinia; Pocilloporidae
Source: RefSeq, a predicted model, not a curated record
UUAAGCCAAGGACAUAGGCUCUUUUCUGAACAAGGGAACUCGCAUGUUCACCUAUCAUUACCAGAUGAUACCUCUGUUCAGAGUCGUCGUCCUGAAGUGGAGAAUGAAGAGAGCCAGGACACUUCACUUUUUACGGCUGCAAGAAAUGGUCAGACUGAUAUUGUAAGGUUGCUUAUAGAGAACGGAGCUGAUUUCAACAAAGGAG